GUGGGUAUAGUUUAAUAAAAAUGCUAGAUUGUGAUUCUAAAGACAAAGGUUGAAACCCUUUUACCCACC
This 69-nucleotide transfer RNA is filed under the name Citharoides macrolepidotus (large-scale flounder). RNAcentral describes it as "tRNA-His". It matches the Rfam family "tRNA". Rfam says of the family: Transfer RNA (tRNA) molecules are approximately 80 nucleotides in length. Their secondary structure includes four short double-helical elements and three loops (D, anti-codon, and T loops). Lineage: Eukaryota; Metazoa; Chordata; Actinopteri; Pleuronectiformes; Citharidae. The record is from RNAcentral.